This 253-nucleotide ribosomal RNA is filed under the name uncultured bacterium. RNAcentral's name for it is "partial 16S ribosomal RNA". It matches the Rfam family "Bacterial small subunit ribosomal RNA", at positions 524 to 776 of the family's 1533-position model. The record is from RNAcentral.
UACGUAGGUGGCAAGCGUUGUCCGGAAUUAUUGGGCGUAAAGCGCACGCAGGCGGUCCUUUAAGUCUGAUGUGAAAGCCCACGGCUCAACCGUGGAGGGUCAUUGGAAACUGGGGGACUUGAGUACAGGAGAGAAGAGUGGAAUUCCACGUGUAGCGGCGAAAUGCGUAGAGAUGUGGAGGAACACCAGUGGCGAAGGCGACUCUUUGGUCUGUAACUGACGCUGAGGCGCGAAAGCGUGGGGAGCAAACAGG